Molecule: ribosomal RNA, 1345 nt
Filed under: uncultured bacterium
Lineage: Bacteria
Description: bacterial SSU rRNA
Rfam family: Bacterial small subunit ribosomal RNA
Source: RNAcentral
GACGAACGCUGGCGGCGUGCUUAACACAUGCAAGUCGAACGGAAAGGCCCUGCUUGCAGGGUACUCGAGUGGCGAACGGGUGAGUAACACGUGGGUGAUCUGCCCUGCACUUCGGGAUAAGCCUGGGAAGCUGGGUCUAAUACCGGAUAGGAGCCAUUUUUAGUGUGAUGGUUGGAAAGUUUUUUCGGUGUAGGAUGAGCUCGCGGCCUAUCAGCUUGUUGGUGGGGUAAUGGCCUACCAAGGCGGCGACGGGUAGCCGGCCUGAGAGGGUGGACGGCCACAUUGGGACUGAGAUACGGCCCAGACUCCUACGGGAGGCAGCAGUGGGGAAUAUUGCACAAUGGGCGCAAGCCUGAUGCAGCGACGCCGCGUGGGGGAUGACGGCCUUCGGGUUGUAAACUCCUUUCGCUGGGGACGAAGCUUUUUGUGACGGUACCUAUAUAAGAAGCACCGGCUAACUACGUGCCAGCAGCCGCGGUAAUACGUAGGGUGCGAGCGUUGUCCGGAAUUACUGGGCGUAAAGGGCUCGUAGGUGGUUUGUCGCGUCGUCUGUGAAAUUCCGGGGCUUAACUCCGGGCGUGCAGGCUAUACGGGCAUAACUUGAGUACUGUAGGGGUAACUGGAAUUCCUGGUGUAGCGGUGAAAUGCGCAGAUAUCAGGAGGAACACCGAUGGCGAAGGCAGGUUACUGGGCAGUUACUGACGCUGAGGAGCGAAAGCAUGGGUAGCGAACAGGAUUACAUACCCUGGUAGUCCAUGCCGUAAACGGUGGGCGCUAGGUGUGAGGGUCUUUUCACGACUUUCGUGCCGUAGCUAACGCAUUAAGCGCCCCGCCUGGGGAGUACGGCCGCAAGGCUAAAACUCAAAGGAAUUGACGGGGGCCCGCACAAGCGGGGGAGCAUGAGCAUUAAUUCGAUUCAACAGCGAAGAACAUAACCUGGGCAUGUCAUACCCCAGUUCGACGCAGAGAGAGUAGUUUCCCUCCCCGGCUGGUGUACAAGUGACACAUGGUGCUCGUCAGUUUGCAUCGCGAGACGUAGGAUUAAGUCCAGCACCGACAGCAACCCCAAUCUUAUGUUGCCAGCACCAGCUUGGGGACUCACGAGAGACUGCCGGGGCUCAACUCGGAGGAAGGUGGGGAUGAGGUCAAAUCAUCACGCCCCUCACGUCCAGGGCUUGACACAUGACACAAUGGUAGGUACAAAGCGCAGCGACAGUGUGAGGUGGAGUCGAAUCGAUGAAAGCAGGCCUUAGUUCAGGAUUGGGGUCUGCAACUAGACCCCAUGAAGUAGGAGUCGCUAGUAAUCGCAGAUCAGCAACGAUGCGGCGAAUACGUUCCCGGGCCU